AAUGAACGCUGGCGGCAGGCCUAACACAUGCAAGUCGAACGGAUCCUUCGGGAUUAGUGGCGGACGGGUGAGUAACGCGUGGGAACAUACCCUUUGGUACGGAAUAGCCUCGGGAAACUGGGAGUAAUACCGUAUGUGGUCGAGAGACGAAAGAUUUAUCGCCAAAGGAUUGGCCCGCGUCGGAUUAGGGAGUUGGUGGGGUAAUGGCCUACCAAGCCGACGAUCCAUAGCUGGUUUGAGAGGAUGAUCAGCCACACUGGGACUGAGACACGGCCCAGACUCCUGCGGGAGGCGGCAGUGGGGAAUCUUAGACAAUGGGGGAAACCCUGAUCUAGCCAUGCCGCGUGAUCGAUGAAGGCCUUAGGGUUGUAAAGAUCUUUCAGGUGGGAAGAUAAUGACUGUACCACCAGAAGAAGCCCCGGCUAACUCCGUGCCAGCCGCCGCCGUAA
This 449-nucleotide ribosomal RNA is filed under the name uncultured bacterium. Its description in RNAcentral is "partial 16S ribosomal RNA". It matches the Rfam family "Bacterial small subunit ribosomal RNA", at positions 29 to 523 of the family's 1533-position model. The record is from RNAcentral.